RNAcentral lists this ribosomal RNA (275 nucleotides) under uncultured bacterium. RNAcentral's name for it is "partial 16S ribosomal RNA". It matches the Rfam family "Bacterial small subunit ribosomal RNA", at positions 338 to 605 of the family's 1533-position model. The record is from RNAcentral.
CCUACGGGGGGCUGCAGUGGGGAAUAUUGGGCAAUGGGCGAAAGCCUGACCCAGCCACGCCGCGUGAGUGAUGAAGGCCUUCGGGUCGUAAAGCUCUGUGGGGAGGGAAGAACAGGCUUGGGGCUAAUCACCCGAGCUUUGACGGUACCUCCUUAGCAAGCACCGGCUAACCCUGUGCCAGCAGCCGCGGUAAUACAGGGGGUGCAAACGUUGCUCGGAAUUAUUGGGCGUAAAGCGCGCGUAGGCGGCCUUUUAAGUCGGAUGUGAAAGCCCUC